UACGUAGGUGGCAAGCGUUGUCCGGAUUUACUGGGCGUAAAGAGCGCGCAGGCGGUCAGAUAAGUCGAAUGUGAAAGCCCCCGGCUCAACUGGGGAGGGUCAUUCGAUACUGUUCGACUCGAAGGCAGGAGAGGGAAGCGGAAUUCCCGGUGUAGUGGUGAAAUGCGUAGAUAUCGGGAGGAACACCAGUGGCGAAGGCGGCUUCCUGGCCUGUUCUUGACGCUGAGGCGCGAAAGCCAGGGGAGCAAACGGG
Molecule: ribosomal RNA, 253 nt
Filed under: uncultured bacterium
Lineage: Bacteria
Description: partial 16S ribosomal RNA
Rfam family: Bacterial small subunit ribosomal RNA
Source: RNAcentral